GGCCCAGACUCCUACGGGAGGCAGCAGUGGGGAAUAUUGCACAAUGGGCGAAAGCCUGAUGCAGCGACGCCGCGUGAGGGAUGACGGCCUUCGGGUUGUAAACCUCUUUCAGUAGGGAAGAAGCGAAAGUGACGGUACCUGCAGAAGAAGCACCGGCUAACUACGUGCCAGCAGCCGCGGUAAUACGUAGGGUGCGAGCGUUAUCCGGAAUUAUUGGGCGUAAAGAGCUCGUAGGCGGUUUGUCGCGUCUGUCGUGAAAGUCCGGGGCUUAACCCCGGAUCUGCGGUGGGUACGGGCAGACUAGAGUGCAGUAGGGGAGACUGGAAUUCCUGGUGUAGCGGUGGAAUGCGCAGAUAUCAGGAGGAACACCGAUGGCGAAGGCAGGUCUCUGGGCUGUAACUGACGCUGAGGAGCGAAAGCAUGGGGAGCGAACAGGAUUAGAUACCCUGGUAGUCCAUGCCGUAAACGUUGGGCACUAGGUGUGGGGACCAUUCCACGGUUUCCGCGCCGCAGCUAACGCAUUAAGUGCCCCGCCUGGGGAGUACGGCCGCAAGGCUAAAACUCAAAGGAAUUGACGGGGGCCCGCACAAGCGGCGGAGCAUGCGGAUUAAUUCGAUGCAACGCGAAGAACCUUACCAAGGCUUGACAUGUUCUCGAUCGCCGUAGAGAUACGGUUUCCCCUUUGGGGCGGGUUCACAGGUGGUGCAUGGUUGUCGUCAGCUCGUGUCGUGAGAUGUUGGGUUAAGUCCCGCAACGAGCGCAACCCUCGUUCCAUGUUGCCAGCACGUAAUGGUGGGGACUCAUGGGAGACUGCCGGGGUCAACUCGGAGGAAGGUGAGGACGACGUCAAAUCAUCAUGCCCCUUAUGUCUUGGGCUUCACGCAUGCUACAAUGGCCGGUACAAUGGGUUGCGAUACUGUGAGGUGGAGCUAAUCCCAAAAAGCCGGUCUCAGUUCGGAUUGGGGUCUGCAACUCGACCCCAUGAAGUCGGAGUCGCUAGUAAUCGCAGAUCAGCAACGCUGCGGUGAAUACGUUCCCGGGCCUUGUACACACCGCCCGUCAAGUCACGAAAGUUGGUAACACCCGAAGCCGGUGGCCUAACCCUUGUGGGGGAGCCGUCGAAG
Molecule: ribosomal RNA, 1124 nt
Rfam family: Bacterial small subunit ribosomal RNA